RNAcentral lists this long non-coding RNA (339 nucleotides) under Sorghum bicolor (sorghum). RNAcentral's name for it is "long non-coding RNA (SBIC_LNC006056)". Lineage: Eukaryota; Viridiplantae; Streptophyta; Magnoliopsida; Poales; Poaceae. The record is from RNAcentral.
AACACUACUACUAUAUUAUCACUCAAAACUAGAGGCUAGCUACUAAACUACUUUGCUCUAGUUGUUGUGAGUUCAAGGAUCUUCUAUAGGCUAUUCAUCUCCCCUCUAGUCAUCUAAAUCCUUUCACCUAGCUCGCUCACACUGCCUGGCCGACUUGAGAAGCUGAUAGGACAAGACCCCCUUACCACCGACAACCUAUGCAAGAAGAAAGACUAGUGGUUCGGUCACUAGCUUUUAAUGGGUCCUCAGCAACCGAGUCAACAACUGGUGGCUAAGAGAAGCCAUGCUCUAGGCCACGAGGGCCCAUAAAACUCACCCGAAAAAGGUAAAAGUAGGGGC